Molecule: long non-coding RNA, 473 nt
Filed under: Oryza brachyantha (malo sina)
Lineage: Eukaryota; Viridiplantae; Streptophyta; Magnoliopsida; Poales; Poaceae
Description: long non-coding RNA (OBRA_LNC001353)
Source: RNAcentral
GAUUCAAAUAAUUGAUUGACAAAUUAUUUGUUGUUAAAAGAGAUAUUGGAGUAAACCAUAUCAAAGUUACAUUAUGUUAGUCUGAAAUUGUUGUUUGUUAUUUAGACCGGGUAGGCAUUCUCGCCCUUGAUAAUCAGGACUAAAAUCCCAAGACCUAGAGGAGUCCAUUUUUUGGAGCCAAAGCCACCUCAUGCGCAGCGCCCACCCCAUCUUUUCAAGAUCACUUUAAUGUAAUUGAUUCAAUUAAUAAAUCAACAUUUGUGUUAACUAAUUUUCAAAGCACGUCAGCUCCUUAUGCCUUGUGCGAAUUUGCAUUUCAGUCGUUGUUAGCCAAGCAUGUCUUUCGGAAAGAAAAUUGUUGUUAGCCAAGGGCAAGCCUAAUGUAUAAAGUUAAAAUGCCCCACAAGAUGGGGCCAUGUACAUGUAUCAAUAGUUAAGGCAUUACUUAUAAUGGUAUACAUGUUUCAAUGAAA